AUGAUACUCAAAGUGUAUACAUUAUGUACAGCUAAAGUGUAUCAGUUAUACCUUAAUAAAGGGAUGCAGGGGUUUUUUUGCGUGUUUUUUUUUUUUUUAAUGAAAAUAAAACCUUGUGCUCUUCAUUUUUCUGCAGAAUUUCUACAAGUAUCUUGUUUGACCAGUGUUUGGAAUUUCAGAGCGUGGAAGGAGGUACCGGCCCUUGAGGCCUCUAACCCUGGCUCCUGCAACGGGAGUACUUGACAAGAAGGGAGAUUGGCGUCGAUGUCAGCUAUGGUAAGACCUGCUAAUCUAAGGUGCCCCCGUUGUAAUAAUGUAACCUAAGGGUGCCCAGCAACUCUGAGAGCAAAGGGUGUUUUAUUUUUUCACAACUUCUUCUUUUGAAAGAUUCCAAGCCAAUAGAAAUGUUUUUGGGGCACCUGGGUGGCUCAGUGGUUGAGCUUCUGGCCUUGGGCUGGAGUUGUCGGGGUCCUGGGAUCCAUUCCUGCAUCAGGCUCCCCGCAGGGAACCUGCUUCUCCCUUUACCUAUGUCUCAGCUUUUCUCUGUGUGUCUUAUGAAUAAAUAAAUAAAUCUUUAAAAUUGUGCAACAAAAAAAAUAAAUAAAUAAAUAAAUAAAAUAAAAUUGUGCAACAAACAUCCUUGCAACUUUCAUCUGUAUUCUUGAAUUGUCAAUAUGCUUUACCAAAUUAUUUAUACACACCCAUAUAUUUUAUUCUUGGCUAAAUUAUGUGAGAGUUACUUGCAGACAUUCUGAUACUUUACCCCUAAAUACUUAAGCCUGCAUCUCCUAAGAACAAGGACAGCCACAAUGCUAUUAUCACACCUAAGAAACUUCACAUUGAUAUAUUUAAAUAUAUAUGGUUCCAUAUUUAAACUUCCCUAAUUGGUCCAUUUAUAUUUUGUAUAGCUGUAGUUUUGUUUUGUUUGUGAUCCAGGAUCCUGUCAGUGUUCAUCUCAUUUUUUCUUUCAUGACAUUUUUGAAGAGUCUAGAGAACUUGUAGAAGAUUUCACAAUCUGAAUUUGUCCUUUUUAUUCUUCAGGGUUAGAUUCAGGUACAUCACUUUUGUUAAAAUACUACAGAGGCCUCGUUAUCUAUUUCCCAUUACAUCCUUAUCAAGAAGCCCAUCUUGUAGACUUGUACCAUAUUGGUAACACUAAGCUGGGUCACUGGGCUACAUACGAAUUUCCUAUCCUUGCUUUUAU
This 1204-nucleotide long non-coding RNA is filed under the name Canis lupus familiaris (dog). Its description in RNAcentral is "lncRNA (ENSCAFG00000056963.1)". Lineage: Eukaryota; Metazoa; Chordata; Mammalia; Carnivora; Canidae. The record is from RNAcentral.